GAUUCCUAUUGCAGCGCAGUGGAGCCCUGCGACCUUUCGCAGACGUCGAAAAAAGAGUAAGAUGAUAAUAGUUGGUCGAUUGUAUAUUGUAUUACGCAUAGCCGUAAGCUCUGCAGAUGCGUGAUGCGCUAAACGUGACGCGGUGGUACGACGGCGGCGGCGGCGGCGGCGGCGGUGGCGGCCGGGGCGAGACCCCGUCUACGGAACAGCGCUGUUUUUGGGCAUCGUCACCGGGAAAAAUCGAUUGUCUGAUAGGAUGCAGAAAAUAUGGAUCCGUGACGCAGUUGCUCAAAGGGCCGGCCUGGUUUUAAACCGAGGCAUUUCGAAAAAGUUUCUCUCCAAGUUGGCUAGGUCGCCAGUCGCGAGCCUGCGCACCGUUAAACGCGCAAUGCGACACGCGAUAGAGUAGGACAGGCUGACCGGUAAUCUCGUUAAAAAGAGACGAAAAGGGGGAUGGAGAAGCGCACAGCGGCGUUCACGAUUAAGGGAAUGAAGAAAACUUAAAUAAAUCAAAGGAAGAAGGAAGAAGAAAUCUCGCUUAUAGCUAUUUCUUUAUUAGUUCCUUUUUUUUUUUACAAUGAUCGUUAAAUUAUCUGCAAUAUACGUCUAACUUUGUUCUCGAAGAAUUAAUUUAUUUGUACACUAAUGCAACAGUUUAAAGAUAAGCAGGUACUAUUGCCACGUGGGGGCAAACGAACGAAUAAAUAGUAUUUGUAAACCUUUGA
This is a long non-coding RNA of Ceratina calcarata, 725 nucleotides long. RefSeq lists it as uncharacterized. The transcript is spliced from 2 exons. The record is from RefSeq and is a predicted model, not a curated record. Lineage: Eukaryota; Metazoa; Arthropoda; Insecta; Hymenoptera; Apidae.